This 253-nucleotide ribosomal RNA is filed under the name uncultured bacterium. RNAcentral describes it as "partial 16S ribosomal RNA". It matches the Rfam family "Bacterial small subunit ribosomal RNA", at positions 524 to 776 of the family's 1533-position model. The record is from RNAcentral.
GACGUAGGGCGCGAGCGUUGUCCGGAUUUAUUGGGCGUAAAGCGUACGCAGGCGGCUUUGCAAGACAGGUGUGAAAUCCCCGGGCCUAACCUGGGAACUGCAUUUGUGACUGCAUGGCUAGAGUUUGUCAGAGGGGGGUGGAAUUCCACGUGUAGCAGUGAAAUGCGUAGAUAUGUGGAGGAACACCGAUGGCGAAGGCAGCCCCCUGGGAUGUGACUGACGCUCAUGUACGAAAGCGUGGGGAGCAAACAGG